RNAcentral lists this long non-coding RNA (1513 nucleotides) under Daucus carota (carrot). RNAcentral's name for it is "long non-coding RNA (DCAR_LNC000708)". The record is from RNAcentral. Lineage: Eukaryota; Viridiplantae; Streptophyta; Magnoliopsida; Apiales; Apiaceae.
CUGCGAUAAGAAAGCAUCAUCAUGUACUGCACUACUCAACAGUUACCAAUCCUCCAAACAUUAUAAAUUGUUAGAAUAGUCUAGAACAAAAUAGUUGAUCAACUGGGGCACAUAUUGGGAACAAUAUUUUACACGUAAACAUGGUAUAAAGAUUAUCGGUUUUUCUAUAGUGUGCCCAUGGGCACAUGCUAAGCACCAAAAUCUAUGGAUUUGGACUUUGGAGGGUUUUGAUUGGCUUACACUCUUCAAUAAUGAUGGCCCCCCUGCAUUUACAACAACCACACCAAUCAAAACCUUCUAAAACUAUAAAUUUUUGUGCUUAGCAUGUGCCCAUGGGCACACACUAGACAAACCGAAAUAUUAUAUAUCAUGAACUUCUUAUGGUUUUCGAGGUGAUUAACAAGAUUUAGAAUUCUUUUGUCCCAACAGUCUCGAGUUCCAAAGCUGGAAAGCUAGUUACCAACUAAUUACUUUAAGGUAAAUAUAUUUUUUUUGCAGAAAUUUAACGAACUGGGUAAUUUAGCAGCAUGAGUGAGUAGAUUUAUCGAAUUUUGUGGCGGUUGCAUUUUAAAAUAAAUUGACUCAUUUCAACAACUGAAUAUUCAAAAUCAGACAACAAAUCUGACAAGAUUCAACAGCCAGUCACGGGAGAUAUGGUAAUUAACUAUUAUAGAUCUUAAAAUACAUAUGCACCAAACCACCAAUACACAAAGAUAUACAUGCAUAUUCAUUACAAAAUUAGAAUGGUUGCAAAGAGGUGAUACUCGAUAUUUCAUUAAGAUACAGCCUCCCCUAAAUAAAGCCUAAAUAAUAAACAUGGCCAUCACGAUAACAUAUAGUAUUAUGCUAUCAUUGAAUCAAUUGUUGUACAAUUAGGUUAAUCAAAUUACAAGUAGGACCCCAACGCCAAAUCGGAGGGAUUCCUUUGAAUUUUUAUUAGUAAAGAACUAUCAAUUUCGAACAGUUGUAAGACACCCCACCUGGUAUCAACUAAUGCCACAUGAACAAGGUAAUAAAACAACCACAUACACACCACACACCACAUAAUUUAACAUAUAAUUAUCCUAAAUAUGCCUGAAAUGAAAAAAAUCAACGAUUAAUGUUGCAACUAAAUGCUGCGUAUUAGGAGACAUUUCACAAUAAUAUUGACAGAAGAUGGGCAGCUUAACACACACAACAAAUAUAAACCACCUAGAUAUUACCAAAAAUGCCACCUAAGAUAUCACAACAAAUGCCAAUCUGCAUUCAUACUUAAUUACUACUACAAUUGAUGCAUUACAUGCAUCAUGUCUUGGUUUCUGCUUUUGCUAGAUACCAUUAUACUACCGACACUGAAACGAUAAACAAUUUAUGUUUCGCACUGCUCUAAAAAUUCCUAGUUAAACAGAGGGAUCCCUACUUCAUGACUUUAAGGUUCUGUACCUGUUCAAAUCUGACUACUGCAACAAUGUUCAAAGGUCCAUUAAAGUAUCCGACUAGAAGAUUGAAACUAAAGGUCCUAGAUCCGCUUACC